Molecule: long non-coding RNA, 951 nt
Organism: Carassius carassius (crucian carp)
Lineage: Eukaryota; Metazoa; Chordata; Actinopteri; Cypriniformes; Cyprinidae
Exons: 2
Source: RefSeq, a predicted model, not a curated record
UUCGCUUGCUGUGUGACGUCAGAACUCAUAACUGAGAGUACAUCGACCUAGUACGAGUUCAUGAGUGGGAAGUCAAGGGUUUGACUGACGUUCCAGUGCACUUUCACGGGUUUAAGGUUGGAAAAACACAGGUUACGGGUUGCCUGGAAUGUGGCAUGAGACUGUUUGUCAAGCAUUAGUUACUAUGAUGAACAAAACUGUGGUUACUCUUUUUGUACAUUUUGUGUGAAUUUCAGGAGAAAUCUGACUUAAUGUCCAAAUAAAAGUUGAUUAAAAGUAAUUUGAGAAGUUACUCUGAUAUCAAAAGAUAGCACAAACAUGCUCUAUACUUAACUAAUCAAUAAACUUAAAACUAAUACUUUUUUAUAUUUGUAUACAGAUUGUCCACUAAGCAGAAGGCUCAGAAUGAGGCAGUAGACACAUAUGCUUCUCUUCAGCUCUCUGCUCCAGUUUCUGAAUAUGAGACUUUGAACAAUAGGCAACAAAUACACGUGUGAUCUCCUACUCUGUCUUCCUCUGUCAGCUGUACUUUCAGUAUUUUAAAAAUACACAUUUCCAAUAUGUAAGACUAAUAAAAACAAUGUUUCAUAUCUGAUACAUAAAGCAUGAAGACCAAGCCUCACUACCAGAGAAAUAAACUAUUUUGACAUUUGAUUGGAGCUAAAUCUGUUUAGUUUAAAUAAAUCAUUUUACACAUUUAGAAACUUGUAAUAAAAUGUUAAGAUGGAAAAUAUGUGUGUUUAAUAUAUGUAUGUAUGAAAUACUAUAUAGUUAUUAAUCUAAUCACUUUUAUGCUGUUUUAUAGACUCUCUGAUAACAAAUAAAUAUUUCAUUUUCUUCAUUGUCUUCUAAAAUUGACUGAACAUUCAGGUUUUUAAAUGAAUAUGUCCUGUAUGAAACACACAUACUGCUUGUUUUACACCAUGAAGAUAUUACAGAUGAUAAUCAUAA